AGGACGAACGCUGGCGGCGUGCUUAACACAUGCAAGUCGAGCGGAAAGGCCCUUCGGGGUACUCGAGCGGCGAACGGGUGAGUAACACGUGAGUAACCUGCCCCUAGCUCUGGGAUAGCUCCGGGAAACCGGGGAUUAAUACCAGAUACGACCACUUUAGACAUCUGUCAGGGUGGAAAGGUUUACCGACUGAGGAUGGACUCGCGGCCUAUCAGCUAGUUGGUGGGGUAACGGCCUACCAAGGCGACGACGGGUA
Molecule: ribosomal RNA, 256 nt
Filed under: uncultured bacterium
Lineage: Bacteria
Description: partial small subunit ribosomal RNA
Rfam family: Bacterial small subunit ribosomal RNA
Source: RNAcentral